UUCAGGCUAGGCUUGUAUUUCUGGUAUAUUUCGCAAGUUAAGGUCAAAGUUAUGUGCAUUCAUUGAACUAUAAUUUGUGAUGGCAAUUCAUGCUGGAUUUAAAACUUGGUGUUGAACUAAACUUUAUUUAUCAGUCCACGAUUAAUUAUUUGUGUUCCAUAAUUAUACAAGUUCUAAACAACUAAGUAAUUACGGUAACAAGUCUUGUACUUAUCUGCAUAUGUAGUUUUAAAGAGGUAUUUGUACUACAUACCCGCUAGAGAUGCAUGAACAUUUGGAUCACGUUAAAGAAGGAGGACUUUAUUCAGCGUCACCCCAGCCCUCAUCGUCUUUCGGCCACCAUUCAAUCGUCGUAAACGGGACACGGUUUCGAAUAGGAAUUUGUGGAAUAAUUUCUAUCACUGUUACCAUUUUGCUCCUGACUUUGCUAAUAAUUGUACUUUUGGCUGCCGCAGUUCUUCUUUAUUCUCCGAUUCCAUUAAUUAAAUUUGACUUGAUUGGUAAUAUUACUGGAGCUAUGAACGCGAGUUUAGGAACUCUGGGUCAUGCUUAUAUCACACCCGAGCUUUCAUUAGGUCUGAAGUUUAUUUUGUAAAUUCAAAUUUAUUUAACUAUUACUUACAGUAAUGAGAGACUGUUACAUUUUCAACAAUGAAUUUUUCCAAAUAAAUCAGUCAAAAUUAUUGAAA
Long non-coding RNA from Folsomia candida, 689 nucleotides. RefSeq lists it as uncharacterized. Lineage: Eukaryota; Metazoa; Arthropoda; Collembola; Entomobryomorpha; Isotomidae. The record is from RefSeq and is a predicted model, not a curated record. The transcript is spliced from 2 exons.